RNAcentral lists this unclassified non-coding RNA (177 nucleotides) under uncultured fungus. RNAcentral describes it as "sequence contains ITS2". The record is from RNAcentral. Lineage: Eukaryota; Fungi.
CACACCCCAAGCUCGGCUUGAUGUUGGACGCUGUCUGUGAAAGGACAGGUCUGGAACGCGUGGGCGCCGCCGCCGGACCACGAGCGUAGCAAGACGCAAGUCGAUCGCUCUGUGGGCUCACUCGGUGGACGGCCGUCUGGACGUGGGGUGACACCUUCGUCGAAACACACAACCAAA